CACAAAAGUAUAUACAUUUAAAGUCUCAUUACGAGGGGAACAUUAUCUUCGACAAUAAACAAAAUGUGUGUAAAAAUAACACGACGAGUUGUCAAAGUUCAUUCUAAAUAAAUCUGUUCAUUUUGCUCUAAUAAAAGAAGCUACGAAGAAACAACAGUACAAAAAAAUUAUAUAUCUGUAUGUGUAUAGGUGCAUGUAAAGAAAUGCAAUGAUCCAUUCAAUAAUGUUAGAAAAUGACUGGUGAUGAAUCACAUUACAGGUAAUGUUUCAUGCAUACAAAUAUUUUACAACUUCCUAAUAAAUUAUCAAUGUCCCUUGAUUACCGGAGAAACCUUAAAUUCGACAAUGAACAAACUAUAAAAUAUAGUAAAAAAAGUUGUCAAGUACUUUUAAGGAUGUUCGCUACUCUGUUUAACAAUAACAAGCUUUUUAAAAGACUAUUAUAAAUUAAAAGUAUAUAAAUAAAGAAAAUGAAAAAGCAGAAUAAAGUGUGCUUGUUUUCUAGAUAUAAGCCGUUGAAAAUUUGGCGGGAAAUAAUUCUCUCUAGAUUUUUCUACACAUAACAUGGCACCUUCUUUGUUUAAAAGACUAUGAAAAAAUAACAAGGAUUUCAUAAGAGUUUGAAAUAUGGCUUUUUAAAUAAUAUGUAAUAAAAAUAUGAAAAGAAAAGUAGGGGUUAGUGGGCAAUUUGAAUGUUAAUACAUGGAUAAAACCAGAGGAUUCCGAAAAUCUGGCUGAAAUUCAAAAAAGUAAAGGAGCAAACAUCCUUAAACAGAUUUUAUUAAAUAAAGGCAACAGUAGUAUACCGCUGUUCAAAACUCAUAAAUCCAUGGACAAAGAACAAAAUCGGGAUAACAAACUAAAACCGAGGGAAACGCAUUAAAUAUAAG
RNAcentral lists this long non-coding RNA (890 nucleotides) under Mytilus galloprovincialis (Mediterranean mussel). The record is from RNAcentral. Lineage: Eukaryota; Metazoa; Mollusca; Bivalvia; Mytilida; Mytilidae.